GCUGGCGGCGUGCUUAACACAUGCAAGUCGAACGCGAACGUCUUCUUCGGAAGAUUAGUAGAGUGGCGCACGGGUGAGUAACGCGUAAGUAAUCUACCCUCGCAUUCGGGAUAACGCAGCGAAAGGUGUGCUGAUACCGGAUACGUCUAAGUUAAUAUCUUUUUUUUAGAGAAAGGUGGCCUCUGAUUCACGCUACUGUGCGGGGAGGAGCUUGCGUACCAUUAGCUAGUUGGUAGGGUAAGGGCCUACCAAGGCGACGAUGGUUAGCGGGUCUGAGAGGAUGAUCCGCCACACUGGAACUGAAACACGGACCAGACUCCUACGGGAGGCAGCAGUGAGGAAUAUUGCGCAAUGGGGGCAACCCUGACGCAGCGACGCCGCGUGGAUGAUGAAGGCCUUCGGGUUGUAAAAUCCUGUCAGAUGGGAAGAAGUGAUGGCGGCCUAAUACGUCGUUAUUUUGACGGUACCAUCAAAGGAAGCACCGGCUAACUCCGUGCCAGCAGCCGCGGUAAUACGGAGGGUGCAAGCGUUGUUCGGAAUUACUGGGCGUAAAGCGCGCGUAGGCGGCGUGUUAAGUCAGAUGUGAAAGCCCAUGGCUCAACCAUGGAUGUGCAUUUGAAACUGGCAUGCUUGAGU
This 636-nucleotide ribosomal RNA is filed under the name uncultured delta proteobacterium. Its description in RNAcentral is "bacterial SSU rRNA". It matches the Rfam family "Bacterial small subunit ribosomal RNA", at positions 35 to 647 of the family's 1533-position model. The record is from RNAcentral. Lineage: Bacteria; Deltaproteobacteria.